UACGAAGGGUGCGAGCGUUAUUCGGAAUAACUGGGUGUAAAGAGUGUGUUGGCGGUUUUUUAAGUCAGUUGUUAAAGCGCUCAGCUUAACUGGGCAAAGGCAAUUGAAACUGAAAAGCUAGAGUGUGGGAGAGAAAGGUAGAAUUCUCGGAGUAGCGGUAAAAUGCGUAGAUCUCGAGAGGAAUACCGGUUGCGAAGGCGGCCUUUUGGCCCACUACUGACGCUUAAGCACGAAAGCGUGGGGAGCAAACAGG
This 253-nucleotide ribosomal RNA is filed under the name uncultured bacterium. RNAcentral's name for it is "partial 16S ribosomal RNA". It matches the Rfam family "Bacterial small subunit ribosomal RNA", at positions 524 to 776 of the family's 1533-position model. The record is from RNAcentral.